GAUGAAGAACGCAGCGAAAUGCGAUAAGUAGUGUGAAUUGCAGAAUUCAGUGAAUCAUCGAAUCUUUGAACGCACAUUGCGCCCUUUGGUAUUCCAAAGGGCAUGCCUGUUCGAGCGUCAUUUGUACCCUCAAGCUUUGCUUGGUGUUGGGCGUCUUGUCUCUAGCUUUGCUGGAGACUCGCCUUAAAGUAAUUGGCAGCCGACCUACUGGUUUCGGAGCGCAGCACAAGUCGCACUCUCUAUCAGCAAAGGUCUAGCAUCCAUUAAGCCUUUUUUUCAACUUUUGACCUCGGAUCAGGUAGGGAUACCCGCUGAACUUAAGCAUAUCAAUAAGCGGAGGA
This 341-nucleotide unclassified non-coding RNA is filed under the name soil metagenome. RNAcentral describes it as "partial contains 5.8S ribosomal RNA, internal transcribed spacer 2, and large subunit ribosomal RNA". The stretch from base 1 to 120 matches the Rfam family "5.8S ribosomal RNA", at positions 35 to 154 of the family's 154-position model. The record is from RNAcentral.